AAAUUUCAGGCUAAGUUGUUGUUUGCAAACAAAAGCCAUCAGGUCACUGCCCAAACUAGUCCAUGCAUUUCCCCCACAGAAGUCAUCUGAACUUU
Long non-coding RNA from Strigops habroptila (Kakapo), 95 nucleotides. RefSeq lists it as uncharacterized. The record is from RefSeq and is a predicted model, not a curated record. The transcript is spliced from 3 exons. Lineage: Eukaryota; Metazoa; Chordata; Aves; Psittaciformes; Psittacidae.